AGAGUGAACGCUGGCGGUAGGCCUAACACAUGCAAGUCGAACGGCAGCACAGUGGUAGCAAUACCAUGGGUGGCGAGUGGCGGACGGGUGAGGAAUACAUCGGAAUCUACCUUUUCGUGGGGGAUAACGUAGGGAAACUUACGCUAAUACCGCAUACGCCCUUCGGGGGAAAGCCGGGAUCGCAAGACCUGGCGCGGAUAGAUGAGCCGAUGUCGGAUUAGCUAGUUGGUGAGGUAAUGGCUCACCAAGGCGACGAUCCGUAGCUGGUCUGAGAGGAUGAUCAGCCACACUGGAACUGAAGACACGGUCCAGACUUCCA
This 319-nucleotide ribosomal RNA is filed under the name uncultured soil bacterium. RNAcentral's name for it is "bacterial SSU rRNA". It matches the Rfam family "Bacterial small subunit ribosomal RNA", at positions 26 to 341 of the family's 1533-position model. The record is from RNAcentral.